Molecule: ribosomal RNA, 253 nt
Filed under: uncultured bacterium
Lineage: Bacteria
Description: partial 16S ribosomal RNA
Rfam family: Bacterial small subunit ribosomal RNA
Source: RNAcentral
UACGGGGGGGGCAAGCGUUGUUCGGAAUUACUGGGCGUAAAGGGCUCGUAGGCGGCCAACUAAGUCAGACGUGAAAUCCCUCGGCUUAACCGGGGAACUGCGUCUGAUACUGGAUGGCUUGAGUUUGGGAGAGGGAUGCGGAAUUCCAGGUGUAGCGGUGAAAUGCGCAGAUAUCGGGAAGAACACCCGUGGCGAAGGCGGCUCUCUGGGACGGUACUGACGCUGAGACGCGAAAGCGUGGGGAGCGAACAGG